This 636-nucleotide long non-coding RNA is filed under the name Phoenix dactylifera (date palm). Its description in RNAcentral is "long non-coding RNA (PDAC_LNC000167)". The record is from RNAcentral. Lineage: Eukaryota; Viridiplantae; Streptophyta; Magnoliopsida; Arecales; Arecaceae.
UUUCUAAUAGGUUGGUGAUGGAAGAACUAGGGCACAAUCGGUACACCAAAAGGAACUAGUCUGAACCCGAUUUGAUGAUCAAUAUGUUGGCUAUAUGAACGUAGAUUUUUUCGAAGAAUAUGAAGGUUGGAAGCUCUUGUGGACGAGAGGGAACAAUGGAGUAUUUUUUUUUUUUUGGAAUUUAUUUCUAAAGGAUAACUAAGGAAACUAGGUUGAGUCUCACACCCUAGGUUCCUAGAAUUUGAGGAGAAGGUUGGGGCGUCUCACCUUUAUCUUCUUCUCUCCAAUGGUGUCUCACCAAUGGCUGGAAAAGAGCCCUUCUUUUCGUGGUCUCUCUCUCACAAAUCUCUAUAAUUUUUUUUUUCAAAUAAAUUUGAUAUCAUUUCAUUCAUCAAAACCUCCUCUUAUAAAGAGAAAGAGGUUGGAAGUUACAAACAGAUUUACUUAGACUCAAAAUGAGAUAAGGACAUUUUUUAAAAUUCAAAUCUAAUGACAAACUUCCUAAACAACUUGCCAACUAAAGGUUGGACAAGUGUCAACCCUUCAUGGUGUGUGGGUUGGAGAUUAGGAGCAGGAAACCCCAACCGCACCAUUACUCAAACACCUUCUCGAGUACCAACAUCAGCAUGAAGUUCG